GGCGGGAGGAAAGGGAGGCGGAGGCGAGGGGAGAAGAGGAGAAGAAAGAGCCCCUCUUGGCCAAAGCCUCCUCCAAGCGGCGAGCAAGGCGCCCCGUGCCCACAUCCACCCGCCGGGUCCUGGCAGCAUCCACCGCUCCGGCUGCCGCGCUCGGGAUUCAGCAAGAGCCGCGCUGGACAGCUCCCUCCUUAUAGGCGCCAGCCGCCGCCGCCGCUUCGCCCGCUCCCUCCUCCUCCUCCUCCUCCUCCUCUUCCUCUCUGCCCCCGCCUCUCGCCUCGCUUCUCCCGCCCUCCGACGGUCACACCUCCCUCCCUCCCUCCCUCCCAACCGCUAGGACCAAAACCCUGGCGAGGAAGCUUCCGACUCAACCGGUUGCCCAACGCAUCGCUGUUUACACGCCAGGAAGGAAGGGAGCCGGCAGAGGCGCUCCGAGGCGUCACCUGGGAAGGAAGGGAAAGGAAGGGAAGGUGGGGAAGAAAAGCAGGCGGGGAGGCAAGGAAGGAAGGGAUGGGGAAGGAAGGGAGGAAGGGGUGGAUGGAUAGAUGGAAGGAGCAUCAAGCUCCUUGGGAUCUUGCCUGCCAAGGGAGGAGAAGGGAAAGCUCUGCAAAGAAGGCAGGGAAAAAACUGGGUUGCUGUGAGUUUUCCAGGCUGUAUGGCCAUGUUCCAGAAGCAUUAUAUCCUGACGUUUCAAAGGGAGGGAGGGAGGGAGGGUGGAUGGAUGGAUGGAGCAUCUAGCUCCUUGGGAUCUUGGCUGCCAAGGGAGGAAAAGAGAAAGCUCUGUGAGGAAGACAGGGAAAAAAGAAUUGGGUUGCUGUGAGUUUUCUGGGCUGUAUAGCCGUGUUCCAGAAGCAACAUUGUCUCCUGACGUUUCGUCCACAGCUAUGGCAGUCAUCCUCAGAGAUUGUGAGGGUUGUUGAAAACUAAGCAAGGGAGGUUUAUAUAUCUGUGGAAGGACAGGGGUGGGAGAAAGAACUCUUGUCUGUUUGAGGCAGGUGUGAAAAUUGCAUUUGACCACCUGGGACCUCAACACACUAGAGCUUGGAUCCACUUUAAAUCCAACUUUGGGAGGGGAAUUUAAACAACUCAGCCAGAAAGGUCCUGCGCCUCACCAAACUACAAACCCCAGAAUUCUGCAGGAGAUAAAAACUAGAUUUAAAGUGGAUUCAUGCUCUAGUGCAGUGGCUCUCAACUUGGGGUCCCCAGAUAUUUUUGGCCUAAAACUUCCAGAAAUCCCAGCCAGUUUACCAGCUGUUAGGAUUUCUGGGAGUUGAAGGCCAAAAACAUCUGGGCACCCCAGGUUGAGAACCACUGCUCUAGUGUGACGAGGCAUUGAUUAGCAUAGAAUAGCCUUUCAGCUUCAAGGUCUGGUUGCUUACUGCCUGGGGAAAUCCUUUGUUGAGAGGUGUUAGCUGGCCCUGAUUGAUUUAUGUCUGGAAUUCCUCUUUUGGGACCACAUUUUUUUCUCUCUCUUAUUUUCAAUUUUUUUUUACGUGUUGAAAAACUAAUAUGACACUUUGAAUGCAAACGAGGAGCGAAAAGAGCAAAAGUGAUGGUGGGAUCUGAAUUCUCUUUCUCUGUCACAUAGAGGGACACAUAUCUACAUGCACACUUUGAGAAAGAGGGAGAGAGAGGUGUGUGCCAAACAUGCACGCACACAUACUCCCCCCUCCAUACAUACACACUUACAUAUGUGUGCAUGCAUACAUAACACACACACACACCUGGAGAAAGGGAGAGAGAGGGGUACCUCCUAGGUUGUUUACAACAAGAAAGAGAGGGGGAGCCUAGGGAAUUGGAUUUUAAAAGCUAAUGUUUGAAAAGGAAUGACUUCUGUUAAAAUUAGGGGUCUCUUAUCUUUUCAUUUAUCACUAGACUUUGCCAAUCUUUCAUAAGCACACUUCUUAACCUAUGCAAGCCAGACCCCAGACCGCAAAGUGUGUCAGUCACUGCAGCCGACUUUCUUCCUUGCCUGGUGGCUUGGAUAAUUUGUCUCAACUGUCUGAAGUGUCAGAGUUAUGCUAAUUGACAGGAGAGGAACAAGUGUGGGACGGAGAUGGCUUCCUGUCCAGUGGGCAUCAAAAAUGCAAGGGGGAAAUGCUCCUGGUGCUUCACUUCUUUGCUGAUCUUUUUGCUGAUCAUCCCAGCACAGGGCUGCUGUCCUUUCCAGAACCUCAGUUUAAAAUUAUCAAGACUUAACCUUGUUGGUUUUGCUCCUGCUUCAGCCCACAUCAAUGGCAAGCUAUAUCAAAGGAGGAUAAAAAUUGCAUUAGUGAUCCCGACUUUAAUCCUUAAGGAGCAAAUUUAUUUGGCGCAUUAAAGCCUUUGUUGUGAGUAAUUUGCUGGUCCCCAGCCAUAAUAAACAUAGAGAGUGUGGUCAGAAAUAAUGAGGGUUUUUUUUAGAUCACUUGCCCACAUAUCUACGAUGGGCCCACAAGAGAAUGGUGCUCUUAAUUGCUGGCAUGCUGAAAAAAAGAAAGGAGGGGAGGGGGAACAGAAGCUUUUGGAUGUUUGGUGGAAAACUGCUUGCUUAGUGAUUAGAUAGUCUGGCGAAUUAAAAAGCAACAGCAAACUGGAUUUGGGGCUUUAAAGAGACAAACAAAAGCUAAAUCUCACUUCUGCGUGGUUUUUUUUUUAUUUUAAAAAUGCUACCGCAACAUUUCCUUAAGAUAACUUUAUAUGAAAGGGAGAAAGAGAUCAAAAUUCUGUGAUGAGGAAGGGAGAAGGAGAGGGUGGGAUUCUGGCUGACUUUCAGCUAAAUCAAAUUCUUAUAAAUGUUUUAAUUGCAGAGGAGAGAUAAACACAUGGCUUAUGGACACAACCCCACAGUGGCAAAGCUGCACCUAGAAAGAAAAGAACGUUAGACUCUUGUUGGAUUAUUUACAAUGUCAUUAUUCCCUAUUUGUUUGUAUUUUUAUUAAUGACACAUGACAAAGUGACAGAAAAAGGGCCUCUGUUCUUCAUGGAUUUUAAAUUCAGGAGAAGAGAGAGCGGGGGGGGGGGGUAGUGUGUGUGUGGUGAGAGGGAUGAAGCUGGUGAGUGUAGCAGAGGGGAAAGGAGGCAACUACCCACUAUUUUUUAUUCAUUCCCCAGAAUGAAUGGGUGGGGAAGGGGGGCACUACACCAAAAUGCCAUGGUGUCCAGAAAAAAACUUCCACUGUUCAGUUGCACUGAUGAAAAAGUUUGCUCUGUGUGAAGAGCUGAAUAUAUGGAUAGGUAUCCAGUUGUAGCCCAGGUGGCAAAGUGUGUUAAAGCACUGAGCUGCUGAACUUGCAGACCGAAAGGUCCCAGGUUCAAAUCCCGGGAGCGGAGUGAGCGCCCGCUGUUGCUCCAGCUCCUGCCAACCUAGCAGUUUGAAAACAUGCAAAUGUGAGUAGAUAAAUAGGUACUGCUUUAGUGGGAAGGUAAUGGUGCUCCAUGCAGUCAUGCUGGCUACAUGACCUUGGAGGUGUCUACGGACAACGCCGGCUCUUCAGCUUAGAAAUGGAGAUGAGCACCAUCUCCCAGAGUCGGACUCGACUAGACUUAAUGUCAAGGGGAAACCUUUACCUUUAUUCAGUUAGAUACCUAUUUAGAAGUGCAUCCUAAAGACAUUCUGACACAAGAUAAGUGUCUCCAAGCUUGUGUUUCUGUUACUCCCUCCUCUAAGUGAUCAUUGCACAUAUGUGACAGGAGGAGGUAGUUGUUACAUGGGCAACCUGGUCCCUAAGACUUUGCAGGCAGGGGAUAGAUCGUGCACAUCUACAGACCUAUUGCUAGGAUCUUUUGUGAGAACAUGCUGCUAAAAUGAGAGGAUACCCUA
Molecule: long non-coding RNA, 3799 nt
Filed under: Anolis carolinensis (green anole)
Lineage: Eukaryota; Metazoa; Chordata; Lepidosauria; Squamata; Anolidae
Description: lncRNA (ENSACAG00000041508.1)
Source: RNAcentral